Molecule: long non-coding RNA, 77 nt
Organism: Xenia sp. Carnegie-2017
Lineage: Eukaryota; Metazoa; Cnidaria; Anthozoa; Malacalcyonacea; Xeniidae
Exons: 3
Source: RefSeq, a predicted model, not a curated record
UCUUGUUUUCCAGUCAGUCGACCUUAUCAUUUUGUGCACCAGAAGAGGCAGUUCAGGAAAACGAGACCUAUCUCAAG